RNAcentral lists this ribosomal RNA (253 nucleotides) under uncultured Pelagibacterales bacterium. RNAcentral's name for it is "partial 16S ribosomal RNA". It matches the Rfam family "Bacterial small subunit ribosomal RNA", at positions 524 to 776 of the family's 1533-position model. Lineage: Bacteria; Pseudomonadati; Pseudomonadota; Alphaproteobacteria; Candidatus Pelagibacterales. The record is from RNAcentral.
UACGAAGGGACCUAGCGUAGUUCGGAAUUACUGGGCUUAAAGAGUUCGUAGGUGGUUAAAAUAGUUGGUGGUGAAAUCCCAGAGCUUAACUCUGGAACUGCCAUCAAAACUUUUUAGCUAGAGUAUGAUAGAGGAAAGCAGAAUUUCUAGUGUAGAGGUGAAAUUCGUAGAUAUUAGAAAGAAUACCAAUUGCGAAGGCAGCUUUCUGGAUCAUUACUGACACUGAGGAACGAAAGCAUGGGUAGCGAAGAGG